UCCAAAGCCCGUGAGUGACAGUCCUCGAG
RNAcentral lists this non-coding RNA (29 nucleotides) under Mus musculus (house mouse). Lineage: Eukaryota; Metazoa; Chordata; Mammalia; Rodentia; Muridae. The record is from RNAcentral.